Molecule: unclassified non-coding RNA, 246 nt
Filed under: Rickettsia felis
Lineage: Bacteria; Pseudomonadati; Pseudomonadota; Alphaproteobacteria; Rickettsiales; Rickettsiaceae
Source: RNAcentral
CUGUGAGAUUACAUAUGCAUAUAGUGUUAAUUCUAUAAAAAUGUAGUAUCAACUCACAAAGUUAUCAGGUUAAAUUAGCUUUACCAAUGAAUAAAAAUGUUGUUGCACAGCUAAUAAUGUUAUACCGUGGUCCCGCCACGGUAUCUAGAAAAAUUUUUAAUAUUUAGAUUCUUGCUUCCGCAGGAAUGAUAAAUUUAGUCAUGCAACAACAUUAACAGCAAACUAUAAUACAAAUCUAUCUUUUUA